CCUACGGGUGGCAGCAGUGGGGAAUAUUGGACAAUGGGCGAAAGCCUGAUCCAGCCAUGCCGCGUGUGUGAAGAAGGCCUUCGGGUUGUAAAGCACUUUCAGUGGGGAAGAAAGCCUUGGGGCUAAUACCCUCGAGGAAGGACAUCACCCACAGAAGAAGCACCGGCUAACUCCGUGCCAGCAGCCGCGGUAAUACGGAGGGUGCGAGCGUUAAUCGGAAUUACUGGGCGUAAAGCGCGCGUAGGCGGUCUGAUAAGCCGGUUGUGAAAGCCCCGGGCUCAACCUGGGAACGGCAUCCGGAACUGUCAGGCUAGAGUGCAGGAGAGGAAGGUAGAAUUCCCGGUGUAGCGGUGAAAUGCGUAGAGAUCGGGAGGAAUACCAGUGGCGAAGGCGGCCUUCUGGAAUGACACUGACGCUGAGGUGCGAAAGCGUGGGUAGCAAACAGGAUUAGAUACCCCUGUAGUC
This 465-nucleotide ribosomal RNA is filed under the name Vreelandella stevensii. Its description in RNAcentral is "partial 16S ribosomal RNA". It matches the Rfam family "Bacterial small subunit ribosomal RNA", at positions 338 to 795 of the family's 1533-position model. Lineage: Bacteria; Pseudomonadati; Pseudomonadota; Gammaproteobacteria; Oceanospirillales; Halomonadaceae. The record is from RNAcentral.